AUGAUUGGGGAACCCGCAGAUCCGUUUGCAACUCCUUUGGAAAUAUUGCCCGAAUGGUAUUUUUUUCCCAAUGUGAAUAAGUUCCAAAACCCAUUUCGGCGUCCAGUAGCAACAACCGUCUUUUUGAUUGGUACUGUCGUGGCUCUUUGGUUGGGUAUUGGAGCAACAUUACCUAUUGAAAAAUCCCUAACGUUAGGUCUUUUUUAA
Vicia faba (fava bean) is the source of this 207-nucleotide non-coding RNA. NCBI's taxonomy places the organism in Eukaryota, Viridiplantae, Streptophyta, Magnoliopsida, Fabales, Fabaceae. The record is from the annotation of a GenBank genome assembly.